This 403-nucleotide ribosomal RNA is filed under the name uncultured bacterium. RNAcentral describes it as "partial 16S ribosomal RNA". It matches the Rfam family "Bacterial small subunit ribosomal RNA", at positions 28 to 526 of the family's 1533-position model. The record is from RNAcentral.
GACGAACGCUGGCGGCGUGCCUAAUACAUGCAAGUCGAACGCAGUGGGGACGGGGUAGUAACACGUUGGUAACCUCCCAACAGAGGGGAUAACACUUGGAAAAAGGUGCUAAACCGAUACUGAUGGAUGGACCCGCGGGUCAUUAGCUAGUUGGUGUGGUAACGGCUCACCAAGGCCACGAUGCAUAGCCGACCUGAGAGGGUGAUCGGCCACACUGGGACUGAGACACGGCCCAGACUCCUACGGGAGGCAGCAGUAGGGAAUCUUCGGCAAUGGACGAAAGUCUGACCGAGCAACGCCGCGUGAGUGAAGAAGGUUUUCGGAUCGUAAAACUCUGUUGUUAGAGAAGCGGUAUCUAACCAGAAAGCCACGGCUAACUACGUGCCAGCCGCCGCGGUAAUAC